This 367-nucleotide ribosomal RNA is filed under the name uncultured archaeon. RNAcentral describes it as "bacterial SSU rRNA". It matches the Rfam family "Archaeal small subunit ribosomal RNA", at positions 451 to 818 of the family's 1478-position model. The record is from RNAcentral.
CCUGGUGUCAGCCGCCGCGGUAAAACCAGCUCUCCGAGUGGUGGGGAUGAUUAUUGGGCUUAAAGCGUUCGUAGCCGGCUCAGCAAGUCUUCCGUUAAAUCCAGCGAUCUAAUCGUUGGACUGCAGAAGAUACUGUUGGGCUAGGGGACGGGAGAAGCCGACGGUAUUCUCGGGGUAGGGGCGAAAUCCUGUAAUCCCGGGAGGACCACCAGUGGCGAAGGCUGUCGGCUAGAACGAGCUCAACGGUGAGGGACGAAAGCUGGGGGAGCGAACCGGAUUAGAUACCCGGGUAGUCCCAGCUGUAAACGAUGCGGGCUAGGUGUUAGGGUGGCUACGAGCCACUCUAGUGCCGCAGCGAAGGCAUUAA